UUUAAAAGACAGUAGUUAAACUNUACUAUUAAGGG
This 35-nucleotide transfer RNA is filed under the name Diadema antillarum. RNAcentral describes it as "partial tRNA-Lys". The record is from RNAcentral. Lineage: Eukaryota; Metazoa; Echinodermata; Echinoidea; Diadematoida; Diadematidae.